UGCAUGCCAUCCCCGCCGCCCCAGCCCCGCCCGGUGCAUGCCAUCCCCGCCGUCCCCGCCGCCCCCUUCACUCCAACCCGCGCCGCUCACUCUGCCUCACCUCUCCGGCCGCAGAUGUCUCCUCCCUGAGCACAAAGUGGACGCACGUGGGGCGGCCACCGGCGAAGGAGACCGCGCGCGAGCCCGCGGCGCCGAGGCGCCCUCACCCCCUCGCCUCUCCGGCCACACCGGUCUCAUUCCUAAGCAUGAAUCGGGUGCAGGCUGGGCGGCCGCCGGCGUGCAAGUCCGCGGCGCGGUGGUGGAGCCCUCCGGCCCCUUCGGGUUCGAGGUCCGCAUAGGUCUCCUCCCUGGCCUUGUUGGCCUUAUCUCAAUGUAUUAUUCCCUGUUCUUAUCUCAAUCUAUUCCGCCCCGCCCAACCCUCGAUGGAUUGCUUUCCUGGACGCCACAUCUCAUUGCUCGCACGAGGCCACUGCCUGGACGCGGCAGCCGUCGGUCCACUGGUCCUCGCACAGGCGCUCACACCAUAGCCAGCCCCAUCUGCCCACUUCUAGCGCGCGGACACAAUGAUCUGGAUGAGCUACCGCCUCAGCAACUCGAAGCCACGCACGUCGUUUAAUUAGUUCAGCAAGGUAGGAUGCUAGAUACUAAUUGAAACAACACCUGUUGAAGGUUGACAAAUAUUCAAAUGCAUGCUGUGAUGUUCAUUAAUCUGUUUUUGCGAGUAAAGUGCGCUGGUUCUUCAUAGUUGCAGAUUUGCCGUGGCUCAACAGGUUAGCACAAGGUAGCCCUGAAUUCUUUUUUUCUAAAUCAGAUUUGUUGGUUCCUGAUUUUACAGGCAUGUACGGGCACCUAAUGAUGUGUCCAGAAUACACAGGGCACAUUUUGACUUGGAAUGCUGCUAUUCAACGGUGGUCAUCCGAGAUGUCAAUUUAGCAUAAGCUAGCCUUGUCUUUUUUGUUUGAAUCAAAUUUCUGGUUAUGAUUUUUUCAGGCGUGUUUUGUACUAUAUUGAUCUUGGUCUUGUUCUGUUCGCAGGGACACCUGACGAUGAAUCACAAUUUGUACUGCAAGACAAUAUGGACCCUAGAGCUCUUGGCAGACUUGAAGGUAUGUUAAUUCCCAUUGAUCCCAGAAGGAGAUGUGGUGCCAACAAACUCACUGAAAAUGAUUAUUGUUUAGACUAUUGCAGCACUGCAACCUGCUAGAUUUAAGUAUACAGCUGUUUGAUUAGCGCCUUGUUAGCGUUUGUGAAUUAGGCAAUACAUGAAAAAAUAGCAUCAUUCUAGAAGGUAUACAUCUCUGUUCAUUUUUAGGAUUGCUACCUUUUUUUGUUAUACUCCCUCCGUUCCAUAAUGUAGUGCCUAUAGAUUUUUGCAAAAGUCAAACAUUACAAACUUUGACCAUAUUUAUAGAGAAAAGUAGAUACAUCUAGAAUACCAAAUGGACAUCACUAGAUACAUCGCGAGUUAUAUUUUCAGAAUGUAUAUGUUUGAUAUUGUAGAUGUAGAUAGUUUUCUCUAUACACUUGGUCAAAGUUGGCAAAGUUUGACUUUCACAAAAAUCUAUAGGCACUACAUUGUGGAAUGGAGGGAGUACCUUUCUUUGAUGAUUUGAUGUUCGUUUCACUGGCAUGGAACAUAGAACGAACAUAUUGACCGCUUAAUCAUUUAUAUAUGUUGAUCCCCAUGCUUUUCUCAGGGAGAGUAAAAAUAUAAUGGUUCGUUUGUGUAGAACCAAUUGCAUCUUGGAGUAGAGUAUGCUCAAGGUGGUUCACUUUUGGUUUUUGCAUUCCCAUGUGAAAUCGGGAGAGUGUCUGGAAAAAGAUGCAAUGUUGUGUAUAAAACAAAUCAACACCGUGUAUUUAGGUUGCCAAUUUGUUAAAUUUUUAUAGCAUAUCCAAAUAGACAUCUGAUAUUAUAACUUCCAUCUAAUUGUUGGCACUUCCUUCAAAUAAGAACAUAAACAGAACUUACAAACCGGAAUAUCUCAUAAAUGACUAUGUGUAUUUGCUUUAUGUAAUUUUCUUAUUAACUAAUCCCAUACAGUCCUGUUAGUGUAUAUAUAUCACGUGCUUCUCUGCUUCUACAUAGUCAUAUCCAUUUUCCACAAGCAGAAACUAUGUUAGGUUUAAUGGUUGCCUUGCGUCAUCGAUUCACCCAUGUGUUAUGUUUUCUGCCUGCUUUUGUUCAGAAGCUCAGUUAUGCGGUGUCCUCUGUCUCAAACACCGAUGAUGACUGAUACAUGUGAAUUGCAAACUUGGUAUUUUGUCAAACUCUGGCAUCAUCCGCACUGCUUCAGCGGCACUGGCUGUCUCACCUGGCUCUUCACAAAAACCUCCCUGUACUAUGGCAUGCCGCCGAACCACUCGUUGUGGGAUGCUUAACACCGUGUUUGGAUGAUGCCUCACAUGAUUCAGGGCAGACCCUACCGCACAUAUAAGCCCACUAAGCAAGCAUUAAUUUUCGUUUUGUUGACCUAUCUGUUAGCUUCGUGCCUUCACCUUAAUGUAGCAGAAUAGUUAAUUACUGAUUUUGUAGGGAUCUUUUGUUGCCACUUUUUUCAUCUGACGAGGAAUUUAUAGUCGAUGCACAUCACUUUGGGUGGAACUAUCAGGCACACGACCAGUGAGCGGUGGCAGAAGCAACUUCUCCCUUGGACUGCAUGACAUGUAAGAUUAAAACUUUGAUCCUUGCAUCCAUCCCUAUUUAGAAAAAAUAAAAUUGCAUGGCCGACCAUAAUUUUUGAUUGCUGUAAGCUGUGCUUAAUAACGUUUAUACAUAUUUAUUUGUAUGAAAAACUCCCGCCCUUUCUUAGCAUUCAAUUUUGUUUGUUCUCACCUGUUAUCUUUGUAUGGUGACUUGACCAACGAUGGUAGAGAACUAAGAUACAUACUCCUGAGAAUUUCUCUUGUAGAGGUGAAAAGAAGUCUUUGUGAUAUUGUUUUUCUUUUCAUUUCUGUGAAGGGCCUUACCAGGAACCAAGAUAUUUUUGCAGUGAGAAACCAUGUAUUUUUCCUUUAUCUUCUUGAUGAUUGUUUCUCAUACAUUUAACUUUAGAGGAAACAUGGACAUAAAGCUACAUGGGAACACUUGGUCCUGAAUAAAGUUUGUUUUAACGGAAUGUAUAUGCACUUGAAUGGAGGGAAUGAAAAUCUCAAUGAGAUGAAAUCUGGAGAUCAGAGAUGUAUCGCCUCAAUAGAAUGACAAGAUGUGGUCUCCACUCCGUGUGGUGAGAAGUAAGACUUUGUACCUUCCAGUUUAAAAAAGAGCUACUGGUCAAUCCUUAUUUACCGAACCUUGGUAGUUUCCACUUGCAUUUGCUUUCAUAAAGAUAUAAGUAGACAGUGCAAUUGGCGAUCACUUCUUUGUCGAUUACUUUGUUGAGAACAAUCCUCCAUAAUUGUAAAUUAAUUUGAUCUGGGAGGGAGCCAAAAUAUAUAGCACUUGGUGACUAUCAGUUUGAUUUGAACAAGGAUUAUGCAUCUUGACCACGGUUGUUUCUAUUUUCGUUCUGAACUGAAUUUUAACUCUAUUUUCCCUUAGUGGUACUGGAAGUGUAUUGAUGUUGAGAUGAAAGUGUGGCGGUGAUCCUGGGCAAUGACUUCUACACCAUGUUCUUCACAAACACUUGAAAGUAGAACCCUUCAUUCCCAGUUAAUGAUAAUGCUUCAUGUGCAGGCACGUUUUCCUCUUAAGCCCUAUGACUUGACCGAUGCUUCUAUGUCUACCUGUGCUCGAUGUGUUGAUGGCCUGAUGGGCAAGGCGUACUAAGGAUCCAGCGACAUCUUCAUGCAUAAUGCAUAAUGUUAUUUUUUGUAAUAGAGAAUUACAUGUACCACUUUUCAUUAUGAUAGUAUAUAUUGUACCUACUGAUGCAAGUUUAUCCUGCCCUCACUUACUCAGGAUGAUGUUGACAAUUUACAUUCACGGUGGGGGUAGCUUGGGCUUCGAGCCUGGGAUCAAGCAUGCAAACCCGUCGAUGAUAUUCUAGGGGAAUGAAGCAAGAGCUGCAACUGCAUGUGCUUGUUUUCUUGUGCCUUUCUUUUGCCAAAUAUCAUAAGUAAUUAACCACUCGCUACGGCAAUAUUCCUUCUUUCACUCUCUUUCCAAAAUUUUGACAUAA
This is a long non-coding RNA of Triticum aestivum (bread wheat), 4121 nucleotides long. RefSeq lists it as uncharacterized. The transcript is spliced from 2 exons. NCBI's taxonomy places the organism in Eukaryota, Viridiplantae, Streptophyta, Magnoliopsida, Poales, Poaceae. The record is from RefSeq and is a predicted model, not a curated record.